This 243-nucleotide ribosomal RNA is filed under the name uncultured Actinomycetales bacterium. Its description in RNAcentral is "partial 16S ribosomal RNA". It matches the Rfam family "Bacterial small subunit ribosomal RNA", at positions 88 to 334 of the family's 1533-position model. The record is from RNAcentral. Lineage: Bacteria; Bacillati; Actinomycetota; Actinomycetes; Actinomycetales.
UACUCGAGUGGCGAACGGGUGAGUAACACGUGGGUGAUCUGCCCUGCACUUCGGGAUAAGCCUGGGAAACUGGGUCUAAUACCGGAUAGGAGCCAUUUUUAGUGUGAUGGUUGGAAAGUUUUUUCGGUGUAGGAUGAGCUCGCGGCCUAUCAGCUUGUUGGUGGGGUAAUUGCCUACCAAGGCGGCGACGGGUAGCCGGCCUGAGAGGGUGGACGGCCACAUUGGGACUGAGAUACGGCCCAG